AACGAACGCUGGCGGCAGGCCUAACACAUGCAAGUCGAGCGGACCCUUCGGGGUUAGCGGCGGACGGGUGAGUAACGCGUGGGAACGUGCCCUUUGCUUCGGAAUAGCCCUGGGAAACUGGGAGUAAUACCGGAUACGCCCUUUUGGGGAAAGAUUUAUCGGCGAAGGAUCGGCCCGCGUUGGAUUAGGUAGUUGGUGGGGUAAUGGCCUACCAAGCCGACGAUCCAUAGCUGGUUUGAGAGGAUGAUCAGCCACACUGGGACUGAGACACGGCCCAGACUCCUACGGGAGGCAGCAGUGGGGAAUCUUAGACAAUGGGGGAAAACCUGAUCUAGCCAUGCCGCGUGAGCGAUGAAGGCCUUAGGGUUGUAAAGCUCUUUCACCGGGGAAGAUAAUGACGGUACCCGGAGAAGAAGCCCCGGCUAACUCCGUG
This 433-nucleotide ribosomal RNA is filed under the name uncultured bacterium. RNAcentral's name for it is "partial 16S ribosomal RNA". It matches the Rfam family "Bacterial small subunit ribosomal RNA", at positions 29 to 507 of the family's 1533-position model. The record is from RNAcentral.